UAGGGAAUCUUCGGCAAUGGACGAAAGUCUGACCGAGCAACGCCGCGUGAGUGAAGAGGGUUUUCGGAUCGUAAAACUCUGUUGGUAGAGAAGAACGUUGGUGAGAGUGGAAAGCUCAUCAAGUGACGGUAACUACCCAGAAAGGGACGGCUAACUACGUGCCAC
RNAcentral lists this ribosomal RNA (165 nucleotides) under uncultured bacterium. Its description in RNAcentral is "partial 16S rRNA". It matches the Rfam family "Bacterial small subunit ribosomal RNA", at positions 355 to 511 of the family's 1533-position model. The record is from RNAcentral.